This 73-nucleotide transfer RNA is filed under the name Ipomoea nil (Japanese morning glory). It matches the Rfam family "tRNA". From Rfam's summary of the family: Transfer RNA (tRNA) molecules are approximately 80 nucleotides in length. Their secondary structure includes four short double-helical elements and three loops (D, anti-codon, and T loops). Lineage: Eukaryota; Viridiplantae; Streptophyta; Magnoliopsida; Solanales; Convolvulaceae. The record is from Rfam by way of RNAcentral.
GGGGAUGUAGCUCAGAUGGUAGAGCGCUCGCUUUGCAUGCAAGAGUUACGGGGAUUGAUACGUCGCAUUUCCA